RNAcentral lists this ribosomal RNA (339 nucleotides) under Triticum aestivum (bread wheat). RNAcentral's name for it is "partial small subunit ribosomal RNA". The record is from RNAcentral. Lineage: Eukaryota; Viridiplantae; Streptophyta; Magnoliopsida; Poales; Poaceae.
AUGCUUCAAACUGGUAAAAGGCAGGCUAUGUUAGAUCUAGAACGCAUAGACGUGGUAAUCCUAUUAUCUGGAGUUUGUAUUGCAGCUUGCAUACAGACAACAAGCACGCUUGUAGUUGUAGAGCCAACCUUGAUAUGCAGCUUUUUUACUGUUUAUGGGGCAGAUAGAGAUAUCCUUGUAUGUGCUGUUAUGGUUACAAAAGGAGGCUGGUAUUACAAAAGGAGAGAACAAGAACCUGUUUGGAAGCAUGAUGGAUAUCUCGAACCGCAACCCUGUAGACAUAAGUGUACUCUAGUCUUCAGUGAUGCAAAAAUAACAGCAUACCUACAAGGAAAAUAA